Molecule: unclassified non-coding RNA, 222 nt
Filed under: Entoloma turci
Lineage: Eukaryota; Fungi; Basidiomycota; Agaricomycetes; Agaricales; Entolomataceae
Description: partial internal transcribed spacer 2
Source: RNAcentral
AAUUCUCAACCUUUCGAGCUUUUUGAUUGAAAAGCUAGUUAGGCUUGGAUUAUGGGAGUUUGUUGGCUCUUCUUUGAGUCAGCUCUUCUUAAAUAUAUUAGCAAGAUCAUCGCUAAAUCAUCUUUGAUAUGAUAAUUAUCUAUAUCAUCAUGAUUAUCCUAGUGUUUCCUUCACCGGAAAAGAUCAGGCUUAUAGCUGUCUAAGGACAAAUAUUUUUGAAUC